This 492-nucleotide ribosomal RNA is filed under the name uncultured bacterium. RNAcentral's name for it is "partial 16S ribosomal RNA". It matches the Rfam family "Bacterial small subunit ribosomal RNA", at positions 29 to 507 of the family's 1533-position model. The record is from RNAcentral.
AGUGAACGCUGGCGGUAGGCCUAACACAUGCAAGUCGAACGGCAGCACAGUAAGAGCUUGCUCUUACGGGUGGCGAGUGGCGGACGGGUGAGGAAUACAUCGGAAUCUACUUUUUCGUGGGGGAUAACGUAGGGAAACUUACUCUAAUACCGCAUACGACCUACGGGUGAAAGCAGGGGAUCUUCGGACCUUGCGCGAUUGAAUGAGCCGAUGUCGGAUUAGCUAGUUGGCGGGGUAAAGGCCCACCAAGGCGACGAUCCGUAGCUGGUCUGAGAGGAUGGUCAGCCACACUGGAACUGAGACACGGUCCAGACUCCUACGGGAGGCAGCAGUGGGGAAUAUUGGACAAUGGGCGCAAGCCUGAUCCAGCCAUACCGCGUGGGUGAAGAAGGCCUUCGGGUUGUAAAGACCUUUUGUUGGGAAAGAAAAGCAGCAGGUUAAUACCCCGCUGUUCUGACGGUACCCAAAGAAUAAGCACCGGCUAACUUCGUG